UGGGGAAUAUUGCGCAAUGGACGAAAGUCUGACGCAGCGACGCCGCGUGUAGGAUGAAGCUCUUCGGGGUGUAAACUACUGUUGCUCGGGACGAACCUCCCCAUUCGUGGGGACUGACGGUACCGAGUGAGGAAGCACCGGCUAACUCUGUGCCAGCAGCCGCGGUAAUACAGAGGGUGCGAGCGUUGUCCGGAAUCACUGGGCGUAAAGGGCGCGUAGGUGGCUGGGUAAGCGUGUGGUGAAAGCUCGGGGCUCAACCCCGAGUCGGCCAUGCGAACUGCUCGGCUUGAGCAUGGUAGAGGCAGGUGGAAUUCCGGGUGUAGCGGUGGAAUGCGUAGAUAUCCGGAAGAACACCGGUGGCGAAGGCGGCCUGCUGGGCCAUUGCUGACACUGAGGCGCG
Molecule: ribosomal RNA, 400 nt
Filed under: uncultured bacterium
Lineage: Bacteria
Description: bacterial SSU rRNA
Rfam family: Bacterial small subunit ribosomal RNA
Source: RNAcentral